CCUACGGGAGGCAGCAGUGGGGAAUAUUGCACAAUGGGCGCAAGCCUGAUGCAGCCAUGCCGCGUGUAUGAAGAAGGCCUUCGGUGUUGUAAAGUACUUUCAGCGGGGGAGGAAGGGUAUAAGGUUAAUAACC
RNAcentral lists this ribosomal RNA (133 nucleotides) under uncultured Gammaproteobacteria bacterium. RNAcentral's name for it is "partial 16S ribosomal RNA". It matches the Rfam family "Bacterial small subunit ribosomal RNA", at positions 338 to 469 of the family's 1533-position model. The record is from RNAcentral. Lineage: Bacteria; Pseudomonadati; Pseudomonadota; Gammaproteobacteria.